UUGGAAGAAAUUAAGUUGUACAAUAGAAAACCUUUUCCAGUAAACUUUGAGUAGUGAACUAUUGCAAAAUGUACUGACUUGGUUUCUUAUUGCGGGUAACUACCUUUAAUGUUAAUGUAGAGCAAGAUACGAAGUGUUUGUUAUAUCACAUUGAACCAUAUGCAAGAUAUGAUUACUUUUAAGCGGUGAAUGUGUAUUAACCGUUUAUGACUAAUCGUAUAAAGUUGGCAAGUGAAUAAAGCGGUUUAUUGAGAUCGCUCAGGAGAAAGCACGUGUUUCCAGUAUGUCAAAGAAAGCAUUAAUUGUGGUUAACAAAGUUGUGAACAAUCACAAGAAAAGGAAUGGUGCAACGAAAGAUAUGAAGCAGAUGUGUUGGAUGUUCGGGGAACUUGGGUUCGAUGUGAUUCCGCGUUUGGACCUUAAAGCCCGUGAGAUAGAAGAGGAACUACGAAAAGCAUGUUCCAAACCCUGCGACUGCUUCGUGUUGGUGAUAAGUUCACAUGGUCA
Molecule: long non-coding RNA, 507 nt
Organism: Dreissena polymorpha
Lineage: Eukaryota; Metazoa; Mollusca; Bivalvia; Myida; Dreissenidae
Exons: 3
Source: RefSeq, a predicted model, not a curated record